This is an RNA transcript of Jaculus jaculus (lesser Egyptian jerboa), 1068 nucleotides long. It is a transcript of the gene named transmembrane protein 240, with no coding region annotated. The record is from RefSeq and is a predicted model, not a curated record. The transcript has 5 exons. Lineage: Eukaryota; Metazoa; Chordata; Mammalia; Rodentia; Dipodidae.
GCACCGGGGCCGGGGGGCGGCGCUCCGGCCCGGCCCGGCCCCGCCCGAUGUCCAUGAGCGCGAACACCAUGAUCUUCAUGAUUCUGGGGGCGUCGAUCGUGAUGGCCAUCGCGUGCUUGAUGGACAUGAACGCGCUGCUGGACCGAUUCCACAACUACAUCCUCCCGCACCUGCGGGGCGAGGACCGCGUCUGCCACUGCAACUGUGGCCGGCACCACAUCCACUACGUGAUCCCAUACGACGGGGACCAGUCGGUGGUGGACGCCUCUGAGAACUACUUUGUGACGGACAAUGUGACCAAGCAGGAGAUCGACCUUAUGCUGGGGCUACUGCUGGGCUUCUGCAUCAGCUGGUUCCUGGUGUGGAUGGAUGGCGUCCUACACUGCGCUGUGCGCGCCUGGAGGGCAGGUCGGCGCUAUGAUGGCUCGUGGACCUGGCUGCCCAAGCUGUGCAGCCUGCGGGAGCUGGGCCGGCGGCCACACAGGCCCUUCGAGGAGCCUACAGGGAACAUGGUGCACGUGAAGCAGAAGCUCUACCACAACGGGCACCCCAGCCCACGGCACCUGUGAGCGCACGGGACUCGGGGCCGCUGUGCAUAUGUAAAGGGACCUCGUGGAUGCCCAGCUGGCAAGACAGGACUGCGGCCUCAGGCCCAGGGUAUGCUGGGCUCUGGCCACCUGGUCUGUGGCCGAUGGGCAAGUCCAGUGGAAGGAGGACCCAGCAACAACAUGGCCACUGCCAACUAGGGAAGAAUCCUCACCAGGACCUGACCAUGCUGAUGCUGACCUUUGGACUUCAGCCUCCUAAAUUGUGGAAACACAAUUUCCAGGUGUUUAAGCAGCCCACUUUUACUGUGCCAAAUUCCCUGUUCUGCACUUACUUAUGGAAACAGACCUGGUUCCUGAGAGGACAGAUCAGAGUCGACUAGCCACAAAUGGCUGAAACCUUCAAUGUAAGGCAUUUGUUACAGCAGCUAAGCCAGCUCAUUCUGACUAACACUGUCUGCCUGUACCUAGGCUACAAAGUCCAAACUUAAGUAGGUAUAAUAAAGUACUACUAAGUGGUUAA